This 225-nucleotide long non-coding RNA is filed under the name Ananas comosus (pineapple). RNAcentral describes it as "long non-coding RNA (ACOM_LNC030579)". Lineage: Eukaryota; Viridiplantae; Streptophyta; Magnoliopsida; Poales; Bromeliaceae. The record is from RNAcentral.
CACUCGAUCUAUGUUCAACAUGCAUAUAUUUUGUCAUCCAUUGGUAGUCAUUACUUAGCAUUUUAUACAUUCGUUAACAUUUACUACAUGCAUUCUCGGUUAGUACAAAUCUCAUACUUUCAUUUGACAUCUAUUCAGCAUUUCUAUAAUAUGCACAUAUAAAUUAACAUCAACUCAUGCAUUCAUUUGGCAUCUAUCUUUAUCAUGCAUUCUUAAUUAGCAUAC